AUUCCCCCCCUCUUCCUCCCUUUCUCACACUUAUCUAAUUUUGUCCUUCUGUGUAUCUUCUCUCCCACGAUUAUUGUUUCCAGGCCAUGAAACAAAAAUAUUCAUCGAGGUCUGGUGAUCUUGUUUAGUUCAAGAUUGCGCCGAUUUUACACCUUCCUUAGAUUUCUAUGUUAUUGGAUGCGAUUUGUACUUUGAAUCGAGCCAACAAAAGAAUAUCGGUACUUUUUUUUUUAUAGACUUCUAUUCGUAUUCUCGAUUUCGUUUCUUGUUUCUGGGUUUUUAAACGUUCGGUCUUUCAGGUACGAUAUUCUUCAUUAAUGCCAUUCUUUGAAUAAUUUUAAUGCUUCUAUUUCAAUUGGACGAACUACUUUAUGAAAAAUCAGCGCCAAAUUUAAAAUCUUAAUUAUUACAUAUAGGUUUAUAUGAGAUAUUAGUUUAAUUAAUGAGCUUGUUAAAGUCGUUUUCUUUCUUUAGAUGGUGAUGUUAUAAGUGUGUUGGGAUGCUAUGGUGCUGCUUGUGAUUGUGUAGAAAUGGAAGUGUGAUUUACAGUUGUAUGAAUGUAAAAUGAAUGAAUAUGUAAGAAGAAUGGAGAAAAUGGAAUGGAUAACUUCACGCAGGGUCUUGUUCGAGGCAGACGCUUCCUCCAGAAAAUUAGUUCUCACAAAGAUUUGCGAUAGUACUGCCCUUGCUCCCCGUUCCCCUUUUACACCCACUAACUUGGAAUAUUCUUACACGUGUAAAACAAUUACUGGAAGGAGCAUAACAGAAUUCAGAGUAUUCUAGAACUAAAAUGCAAUACAAAAUGACAACGUAAAAGACU
This is a long non-coding RNA of Juglans microcarpa x Juglans regia, 820 nucleotides long. RefSeq lists it as uncharacterized. The transcript is spliced from 2 exons. The record is from RefSeq and is a predicted model, not a curated record. Lineage: Eukaryota; Viridiplantae; Streptophyta; Magnoliopsida; Fagales; Juglandaceae.